RNAcentral lists this ribosomal RNA (433 nucleotides) under uncultured bacterium. RNAcentral describes it as "partial 16S ribosomal RNA". It matches the Rfam family "Bacterial small subunit ribosomal RNA", at positions 29 to 507 of the family's 1533-position model. The record is from RNAcentral.
AACGAACGCUGGCGGCAUGCCUAACACAUGCAAGUCGAACGAGACCUUCGGGUCUAGUGGCGCACGGGUGCGUAACGCGUGGGAACCUGCCCUUAGGUUCGGAAUAACUCCCCGAAAGGGGUGCUAAUACCGGAUAAUGUCUUCGGACCAAAGAUUUAUCGCCUUUGGAUGGGCCCGCGUUGGAUUAGCUAGUUGGUAGGGUAAAAGCCUACCAAGGCGACGAUCCAUAGCUGGUCUGAGAGGAUGAUCAGCCACACUGGGACUGAGACACGGCCCAGACUCCUACGGGAGGCAGCAGUGGGGAAUAUUGGACAAGGGGCGGAAGCCUGAUCCAGCAAUGCCGCGUGAGUGAUGAAGGCCUUAGGGUUGUAAAGCUCUUUUACCCGGGAUGAUAAUGACAGUACCGGGAGAAUAAGCUCCGGCUAACUCCGUG